UACGUAGGGGGCAAGCGUUGUCCGGAAUCAUUGGGCGUAAAGCGCGUGUAGGCGGCCAGAAAAGUCCGCUGUGAAAACUCGAGGCUCAACUUCGAGCUGUCGGUGGAAACUUUCUGGCUAGAGUCCGGAAGAGGAGAAUGGAAUUCCUGGUGUAGCGGUGAAAUGCGCAGAUAUCAGGAAGAACACCCGUGGCGAAGGCGGUUCUCUGGGACGUUACUGACGCUGAGACGCGAAAGCGUGGGGAGCAAACAGG
RNAcentral lists this ribosomal RNA (253 nucleotides) under uncultured bacterium. RNAcentral's name for it is "partial 16S ribosomal RNA". It matches the Rfam family "Bacterial small subunit ribosomal RNA", at positions 524 to 776 of the family's 1533-position model. The record is from RNAcentral.